GUUGGCAGAUGAUGUUAAAAUUUCUUAUCCUACAAUCUGAUUUUCUGUGAAGAUCAAAACUCCGCUUAUUAUCUGAUGCCUUC
Lupinus angustifolius (narrow-leaved blue lupine) is the source of this 83-nucleotide non-coding RNA. The record is from Rfam. NCBI's taxonomy places the organism in Eukaryota, Viridiplantae, Streptophyta, Magnoliopsida, Fabales, Fabaceae.